AGAGUUUGAUCCUGGCUCAGGAUGAACGCUGGCGGCGUGCCUAACACAUGCAAGUCGAGCGCGAAGAAUUGGAAUGAGGUUUCGGCCAAGUGAAGAUUCCGAAAGCGGCGGACGGGUGAGUAACGCGUGGGUAACCUGCCUUAUACAGAGGGAUAGCAGUUGGAAACGACUAUUAAUACCUCAUAAGCACACGAGACCGCAUGGUCUUGGGUGAAAAGCUCCGGCGGUAUAAGAUGGACCCGCGUCUGAUUAGCUAGUUGGUGAGGUAAUGGCUCACCAAGGCGACGAUCAGUAGCCGACCUGAGAGGGUGAUCGGCCACACUGGGACUGAGACACGGCCCAGACUCCUACGGGAGGCAGCAGUGGGGAAUAUUGCACAAUGGGCGCAAGCCUGAUGCAGCAACGCCGCGUGAACGAAGAAGGCCUUCGGGUCGUAAAGUUCUUUUCUCGAGGAAGAAGAAAUGACGGUACUCGAGGAAUAAGCACCGGCUAACUCUGUGCCAGCAGCCGCGGUAAUACAGGGGGUGCAAGCGUUGUUCGGAAUCACUGGGCGUAAAGGGAGCGUAGGCGGAACUACAAGACAGGGGUUAAAGAUCCGGGCUCAACCUGGAGAGUGCCUUUGUGACUGUGGUUCUUGAGUAUGGUAGAGGUCAGCGGAAUUUCCGGUGUAGCGGUGGAAUGCGUAGAGAUCGGAAAGAACACCAGAGGCGAAGGCGGCUGACUGGACCAAUACUGACGCUGAGGCUCGAAAGCGUGGGGAGCAAACAGGAUUAGAUACCCUGGUAGUCC
Molecule: ribosomal RNA, 789 nt
Filed under: uncultured bacterium
Lineage: Bacteria
Description: bacterial SSU rRNA
Rfam family: Bacterial small subunit ribosomal RNA
Source: RNAcentral